Molecule: ribosomal RNA, 221 nt
Filed under: uncultured Carnobacteriaceae bacterium
Lineage: Bacteria; Bacillati; Bacillota; Bacilli; Lactobacillales; Carnobacteriaceae
Description: partial 16S ribosomal RNA
Rfam family: Bacterial small subunit ribosomal RNA
Source: RNAcentral
GGAAUCUGCCUAUAAGUGGGGGAUAACAUUCGGAAACGGAUGCUAAUACCGCAUAUAUUCUUGGACCGCCUGGUCCUUGAAAGAAAGACGGCUUUGGCUGUCGCUUAUAGGAUGAUCCCGCGGCGUAUUAGUUAGUUGGUGGGGUAAAGGCCUACCAAGACAAUGAUACGUAGCCGACCUGAGAGGGCGAUCGGCCACACUGGGACUGAGACACGGCCCAG